GCUCAAUGCAGUGGGAGUGUCUAUAGUCCCAGCUACUUGGGAGGCUGAGGUGGGAGGAUGGCUUGAGUCCAGGAGUUCUGGGAUGUAGUGCACUAUGCUGAUUGGGUGUCCACACUAAGUUCAGCAUUGAUAUGGUGACCUCUGGGGAGCGGGGGACCACCAGGUUGCCUAAGGAAAGGUGAACCGGCCCAGGUCAGAAAUAGAGCAGGUCAAAACUCUUCUGUUCAUCAGUAGUGGGAUUGAGCCUAUGAAUAGCCACUGUGCUCCAGACUAGGCAAUAUAGCAAGACCCCAUCUCUA
Chlorocebus sabaeus (green monkey) is the source of this 299-nucleotide non-coding RNA. It matches the Rfam family "Metazoan signal recognition particle RNA". Rfam says of the family: The signal recognition particle (SRP) is a universally conserved ribonucleoprotein. It is involved in the co-translational targeting of proteins to membranes. NCBI's taxonomy places the organism in Eukaryota, Metazoa, Chordata, Mammalia, Primates, Cercopithecidae. The record is from Rfam.